UUAAGUUCAGCGGGUAGUCCUACCUGAUUUGAGGUCAGAUUUCAAAGUUUGUUGCUUGACCGCCACUCUGAUAGGCAGGUCGAGGGAGGGCGCGGAAGGGGAACGUCUCUGUCGAGCGAGGAUGGUACAACGCCCAGUCGAGUUCGACCCACAGGCCCAACCGAUGCAUUUGAGGGGAGCCGCCUCGCGGCAGCAGAGCC
RNAcentral lists this unclassified non-coding RNA (200 nucleotides) under Trechispora sp. RNAcentral describes it as "partial internal transcribed spacer 2". Lineage: Eukaryota; Fungi; Basidiomycota; Agaricomycetes; Trechisporales; Hydnodontaceae. The record is from RNAcentral.